GGCGAAAGCCGGAUUAAUACCGCAUACGACCUAUGGGUGAAAGCGGGGGACCGCAAGGCCUCGCGCUAUUGGAGCGGCCGAUGUCAGAUUAGCUAGUUGGUGGGGUAAAGGCCUACCAAGGCGACGAUCUGUAGCUGGUCUGAGAGGACGACCAGCCACACUGGGACUGAGACACGGCCCAGACUCCUACGGGAGGCAGCAGUGGGGAAUUUUGGACAAUGGGGGAAACCCUGAUCCAGCCAUGCCGCGUGCGGGAAGAAGGCCUUCGGGUUGUAAACCGCUUUUGUCGGGGAAGAAACGGUCUGCGCUAAUACCGCGGGCUAAUGACGGUACCCGAAGAAUAAGCACCGGCUAACUACGUGCCAGCAGCCGCGGUAAUACGUAGGGUGCAAGCGUUAAUCGGAAUUACUGGGCGUAAAGCGUGCGCAGGCGGCUUUGCAAGACAGAUGUGAAAUCCCCGGGCUUAACCUGGGAACUGCAUUUGUGACUGCAUGGCUGGAG
This 501-nucleotide ribosomal RNA is filed under the name Methylibium sp. TW_R2A_DR5. RNAcentral's name for it is "bacterial SSU rRNA". It matches the Rfam family "Bacterial small subunit ribosomal RNA", at positions 150 to 646 of the family's 1533-position model. The record is from RNAcentral. Lineage: Bacteria; Pseudomonadati; Pseudomonadota; Betaproteobacteria; Burkholderiales; Sphaerotilaceae.